GCGGACAUAGCUCAGUUGGUAGAGUGCUUGCCUAGCAUGCAUGAAGUCCUGGGUUUGAUCCCCAGUGCCACA
This 72-nucleotide transfer RNA is filed under the name Neotoma lepida (desert woodrat). It matches the Rfam family "tRNA". Rfam says of the family: Transfer RNA (tRNA) molecules are approximately 80 nucleotides in length. Their secondary structure includes four short double-helical elements and three loops (D, anti-codon, and T loops). The record is from Rfam by way of RNAcentral. Lineage: Eukaryota; Metazoa; Chordata; Mammalia; Rodentia; Cricetidae.